UCCUGGGUUAGACGGCGGACGGGUGAGUAAUGCCUAGGAAUCUGCCUGGUAGUGGGGGACAACGUUUUGAAAGGAACGCUAAUACCGCAUACGUCCUACGGGAGAAAGCAGGGGACCUUCGGGCCUUGCGCUAUCACAUGAGCCUAGGUCGGAUUAGCUAGUUGGUGAGGUAAUGGCUCACCAAGGCGACGAUCCGUAACUGGUCUGAAAGGAUGAUCAGUCACACUGGAACUGACACACGGUCCAGACUCCUACGGGAGGCAGCAGUGGGGAAUAUUGGACAAUGGGCGAAAGCCUGAUCCAGCCAUGCCGCGUGUGUGAAGAAGGUCUUCGGAUUGUAAAGCACUUUAAGUUGGGAGGAAGGGUUGUAUAUUAAUACUCUGCAAUUUUGACGUUACCGACAGAAUAAGCACCGGCUAACUCUGUGCCAGCAGCCGCGGUAAUACAAAGGGUGCAAGCGUUAAUCGGAAUUACUGGGCGUAAAGCGCGCGUAGGUGGUUUGUUAAGUUGGAUGUGAAAUCCCCGGGCUCAUCCUGGGAACUGCAUCCAAAACUGGCAAGCUAGAGUAUGGUAGAGGGUGGUGGAAUUUCCUGUGUAGCGGUGAAAUGCGUAGAUAUAGGAAGGAACACCAGUGGCGAACGCGACCACCUGGACUGAUACUGACACUGAUGUGCGAAAGCGUGUGGAGCAAACAGGAUUAGAUACCCUGGUACUCCACGCCGUAAACGAUGUCACUAGCCGUUGGGAGCCUUGAGCUCUUAGUUGAGCAGCUAACUCAUUAAGUUUGACCGUCCUGGGGGAAGUACUGCUCGACAUCGGUUAAUACA
This 827-nucleotide ribosomal RNA is filed under the name Pseudomonas sp. Its description in RNAcentral is "bacterial SSU rRNA". It matches the Rfam family "Bacterial small subunit ribosomal RNA", at positions 84 to 873 of the family's 1533-position model. Lineage: Bacteria; Pseudomonadati; Pseudomonadota; Gammaproteobacteria; Pseudomonadales; Pseudomonadaceae. The record is from RNAcentral.